AUUGAACGCUGGCGGCAGGCUUAACACAUGCAAGUCGAGCGGAGAGAGGUAGCUUGCUACUGAUCUUAGCGGCGGACGGGUGAGUAAUGCUUAGGAAUCUGCCUAUUAGUGGGGGACAACAUUUCGAAAGGAAUGCUAAUACCGCAUACGUCCUACGGGAGAAAGCAGGGGAUCUUCGGACCUUGCGCUAAUAGAUGAGCCUAAGUCGGAUUAGCUAGUUGGUGGGGUAAAGGCCUACCAAGGCGACGAUCUGUAGCGGGUCUGAGAGGAUGAUCCGCCACACUGGGCCUGAGAAACGGCCCAGACUCCUACGGGAGGCAGCAGUGGGGAAUAUUGGACAAUGGGCGCAAGCCUGAUCCAGCCAUGCCGCGUGUGUGAAGAAGGCCUUAUGGUUGUAAAGCACUUUAAGCGAGGAGGAGGCUACUUUAGUUAAUACCUAGAGAUAGUGGACGUUACUCGCAGAAUAAGCACCGGCUAACUCUGUGCCAGCCGCCGCAGUAA
This 501-nucleotide ribosomal RNA is filed under the name uncultured bacterium. RNAcentral's name for it is "partial 16S ribosomal RNA". It matches the Rfam family "Bacterial small subunit ribosomal RNA", at positions 30 to 523 of the family's 1533-position model. The record is from RNAcentral.